This 384-nucleotide ribosomal RNA is filed under the name Triticum aestivum (bread wheat). RNAcentral's name for it is "partial small subunit ribosomal RNA". The record is from RNAcentral. Lineage: Eukaryota; Viridiplantae; Streptophyta; Magnoliopsida; Poales; Poaceae.
AUGAAUAUCAAGAGUUGUGGAGCUGUUGUGAGCUUGAAGAAGUGGUCGGAGUCUGUGGGUGCCAAGGCUGUACUUAACAUUGCUUGGGUCAAUGUUAGCAACAUUCUUUUGGAUAAGAGACAUGAGAAGAACAUCGCUUAUGUGGGCUCUUUGGUUGGGGUGACUCUAGAAAUUGAUAAAUCCACUGUUAACAGACCUGUAUCUGUUAGAAUUAAGCUGGGAUGUAGAGAUGCUGAGGAUAUUCCUGCUAAGGCUGAGGGGGCAUUGGGUGGUCCAUUUUAUGACGUUUUUUUUUGCUCUGUGGAUAAGAUCUUAGUGAAAAAUCCCCCCAAAGAAAGAGUAGCUAUGCAACAAGAUGCCGAUGGGGGGGGGGGCUUCUCCUAA